Molecule: non-coding RNA, 759 nt
Organism: Bemisia tabaci
Lineage: Eukaryota; Metazoa; Arthropoda; Insecta; Hemiptera; Aleyrodidae
Source: RefSeq, a predicted model, not a curated record
UUUCUAGAAAUUGAUGCCUUUUCAGAACAACUCCCUUCCAUUGUCAUAUUAUUUUUGUUUCAGCUUAAUCAAUGCUUCAAGAUUUAUCCUAGAACCUAAGUAAAAGACAUUUGAAGACAGGUGUAAGGAUUUGGAGAUGCUGUGGUUAAUGUUGCGAUUUCUUGCUACAAGAAAGACCUAGGUAACAUUUUUGGAAGGUGAUUGAUGAUUCAAGACAUGGUGACACAACAGUCUGUUUGCAUAUAAAAAUCAGGAGGAAGUAGGUGAAACUUAGACAACAAUUUUCUCAUUUAGAAAGAGGGCUUGAAGAAAAAAAGGGUGAUGGUAGUGCUUCUUCUCCCUUCGCCAGCAACUGAAAACACAACCAAUGACAAUAACUAACCUUAUGUAGGGUAUCGGUAAGCUGAUUGUAGAAUCCUGACCUCAUUAUGAGCCAUUACAAAAGAAUAUCUUAACAAAAAAAGAGAUGGCAUCUCCUUCGUGUGAAUUCAUAAUAUUUAUUUUCAACUCAGUUAAACAAAAAAUUUGAUCAAUCGCAUACUACCCACAGCCACAAGAGUCAAAUGGAGAUAAUAAUUUGUUAAAACUCAAAAUUGUAAUUUUUGGAUACAAUACAUGAUAUUUUGUACUUACUUUGUGAACUCCUCUUAACUUGAAAGCAGCAGAAAUGUCGUUCAUUCGCACAGAACACGAUAAAUUAAAAACACAAAGUAACUUCCCAAAGUUCAAUAAAGUCAAUCAAAAGUUUCCACAGUAAAA